This 550-nucleotide ribosomal RNA is filed under the name Athyreocis sp. ARC3489. RNAcentral describes it as "partial 16S ribosomal RNA". It matches the Rfam family "Bacterial large subunit ribosomal RNA", at positions 1803 to 2623 of the family's 2925-position model. The record is from RNAcentral. Lineage: Eukaryota; Metazoa; Arthropoda; Insecta; Coleoptera; Curculionidae.
UUUAUUAAAAACAUGUCUUAUUGAAUUUAAUUUUAAGUCUUGCCUGCCCAAUGAUAAAAUAUUUAAUGGCCGCGGUAUAUUGACCGUGCAAAGGUAGCAUAAUCAUUAGUUUCUUAAUUAGAAGCUUGUAUGAAGGGUUUAAUGAAAAAAUAGCUGUCUCUAUUUAAAUUUUUUUGAAGUUUAUUUUUAAGUAAAAAAGCUUAAAUAAGUAUAGAAGACGAGAAGACCCUAUAGAGUUUUAUAUUUAUUUAAAUGAAUAAAUUUUUAGGAUUAUAAUAUUUAUAUUAAAUAAGUAUUUUAUUGGGGUGAUUGAAAAAUUGAUUAAACUUUUUUUUUAUGUAAUCAUUAAUUAAUGAAAAAUUGAUCCUUAAUUUAAGAUUAAAAGAUAAAAUUACCUUAGGGAUAACAGCGUAAUUUUUUUUAGAGUUCUUAUCGAAAAAAAAGAUUGCGACCUCGAUGUUGGAUUAAAAGAAAUUAUUGGUGUAGGAGCUAAUAAAUUAGGUCUGUUCGACCUUUAAAAUUUUACAUGAUCUGAGUUUAAACCGGUGUG